Molecule: transfer RNA, 22 nt
Filed under: Poa autumnalis
Lineage: Eukaryota; Viridiplantae; Streptophyta; Magnoliopsida; Poales; Poaceae
Description: partial tRNA-Thr
Source: RNAcentral
UAACCCUCUGAGCUAAGUGGGC